UUUGAAUCUUUUCGGUGAAAAAAAAAAGAUUUAUAUAUUUUGACGGGACAGAAAGUUUUAUUUCUUCGAACCCUUAAAAGAGAGUUCAAAAACUACGCGUCUUUCCCAACACAACGAACUUCCUUUCUUAUCACACUUCCCCCCAAAACCCUAAUUCUCUCUCCCUCUCUAAAAACCUCACUCGCUCUCUCUCCUUUUCCUCCUAUCUUUUCAGCCUUUUCACUCUCUCCUUUUUAUCACUUGAAUCAACUCUUCAAUUCUCUUCCAGAAUUCAUUUCUUUUUUCAAUAGAUCUCUGCAGAUCAUUCAAUGGACGAUAGAGAUAAUCUUGAUCCAGGGACCGAGUUCACCAGCGAGUCAAGCUGGACACUCGGUCAUGACUCAGAUAGUGUCAAUUAUUUCUUCUCCAACGAUCGAGAGAACUCCAUACUCAACGAAUUCGGAUGGAAUCUUCAUUCGGACGAACCAUCCCGGUUUAAGGACCUCGAUCGGAUAGAAGCAGAAGAGAGGUCCGAUUCGGCAGGAAACCUAGAGAUUCAGCGAUCAUCAGCAGCUGGUCCGGCAAGGUCUAGUGGUAGAGGCAGUCGUGACGUUUCGACUACGAACUAUCCAUCAGUAUCAUCGAGCUCCAGCGAGGAUCCACCCGAGAAGUCUACGGACUCCGGCGGGAAACCGCCUGAGAUACCGAGUACGGUUAAAAAGAAGGGUCAGAAAAGGAUCCGGCAGCCACGUUUUGCAUUUAUGACCAAAAGCGAAGUUGAUCAUCUUGAAGAUGGAUACAGAUGGCGGAAAUAUGGACAGAAGGCAGUUAAAAAUAGUCCAUUUCCUAGGAGCUACUAUCGCUGCACAAAUAGCAAAUGCACUGUGAAGAAAAGGGUUGAACGGUCGUCUGAAGAUCCCACCAUUGUGAUUACCACAUAUGAAGGCCAGCACUGUCACCAUACUGUUGGUUUUCCUCGAGGAGGAAUCAUUUGUCAUCAAGCUACAUUUUCUAGUCACAUGACUUCUCCAAUGUCGCAAUUUAUUUACCCUGGAAUGCAAUUACCCCGAGAAAAUCCUCCGAGUACUGUGGUGCAGUCACGGCCAUUACCGGUUGAAGCAAGAGAAUGCAGUGUGUCGUCAACACUAACUCCCCAACUUGCAACAGAUGGACUGCUUGGGGACAUUGUGCCUCCUGGAAUGCGAUGAUCAGUGCAGAGAUGGUGUAACCUUGUUGUGGUGGCCCAUGUUCCGUCAGCAGGACGGCAAACUUUAUUUUGUUUAGCCCGUAGUGAGUCCACUUCACUGAGACUCUUCCAAUCCAACCCACUGGCAUGCAGUAUCCGACGUUGAUAUGCAUGUGCUUUUGCAUCAGCCGCGGAAAUAAACGCGCCGGCCGUGGUGUGGUGUGGUAUUUUCCUACUGACAAUUACCUUCUUAUAGCCGAACACGUAUCAUGGUGGGUUCAGCUGACAAUUCAAACCGUACACCAUGACAUUAAAAAUGGUGCCGCGCUAUCCGCUGAAGCGUACGAGAGUUGACAUUCAGAAGCCUAUUUCCUCGGCGAUCUUUUAGCGAUUCCAAGGUGGCCGUUAGACAGCGAGGUCAAGUUUGAUGAUAUCCAUCGUAUCGACAAGAUGUGCUAGAAGGCGAGCUCCCCCAUUAAACCAUUUUCUUAUACGUUUUUACCUCAGAUAUUUGUGUUUUGUCCUUUAACAUUUGUAUUAUUUUUACAUUUUCCUGUUUAGUGAACAUAAAAAAGAAAAUAAUAAUUCAAUA
RNA transcript from Populus nigra (black poplar), 1757 nucleotides. It is a transcript of the gene named probable WRKY transcription factor 57, with no coding region annotated. The record is from RefSeq and is a predicted model, not a curated record. Lineage: Eukaryota; Viridiplantae; Streptophyta; Magnoliopsida; Malpighiales; Salicaceae. The transcript is spliced from 5 exons.